RNAcentral lists this transfer RNA (72 nucleotides) under Camelus bactrianus (Bactrian camel). It matches the Rfam family "tRNA". From Rfam's summary of the family: Transfer RNA (tRNA) molecules are approximately 80 nucleotides in length. Their secondary structure includes four short double-helical elements and three loops (D, anti-codon, and T loops). RNAcentral also lists the same sequence under 1 other name. The record is from Rfam by way of RNAcentral. Lineage: Eukaryota; Metazoa; Chordata; Mammalia; Artiodactyla; Camelidae.
GAGGGUACAGCUCAGCAGGGGAGCAUGUGGUUAGCAUGCAGGAGGUCCUAGGUUCAAUCCCUAGUACCUCCA